This 2798-nucleotide long non-coding RNA is filed under the name Mus musculus (house mouse). RNAcentral's name for it is "long non-coding RNA chr13:15620398-15623196". Lineage: Eukaryota; Metazoa; Chordata; Mammalia; Rodentia; Muridae. The record is from RNAcentral.
UCCAAUAGAAUUCAAGCCCCGUUAACUCCUUUCCAGUGUUUCGUUUAUUUUCCUGGAGACUUUUUCUUUAGAUAUUCAUGCUUGCUUCCUCGCUUAAUGUCUUCCCGUUUGGAUGUCUUCUUACCGGACUUCUGCUAGGAACAGCCACCUGAGAUAGUGUGUGGCACCUGAGCCAAGCCUGGUCCACCUGCUGUGCUUCUAAGUGCACUUUUAUUGGAGUACAGUGACAUUCACCGCUGUUGCUACAGCAACUUUUAACAGUAAGGGCACAGGGGAGUAACAUCAACAUUGAAAGUACGUGGGGACCCCAGGCUACCAGUGCCAGCCUCGGAGAGAUCACAGCCCUCUCCAGCGUCACUCUGGUCUCUGCUGUGAGGAUCUUUCAGCUGUUUUCACACUGUUACCGAGAGGUUUCCUUGUAUGUGUCAUCUCAGUUCAACAAAAGGUCUAAACGUUUGGUUGUAGUUUUUCACAAUAAGCAGAAAAGAUUAACCCGCCAGGAUUUGUUUAUCACCCACCUUCGUUGUCAGCCCCGUUUGGCGUGCAUAUAUGAUUGAGGUCAUCUCCUAAACUUUUAAAAUUGUAAUGGGUAGGCAGCCUACAUUCUGAUCAGCCAGCACACAUUUCUCUUUACAUUAAGAAAAGAACACAAAACAGGUUGUAUUCAGAAGGUGUAAUACUUCUCAGCUUUGUAGUAUUUCUAAUGACUGAAAUAUUGAAUCUGUUCUUCGGUUGCAGAGAAAGCAGACCCUAAUUACAGCGUACAUUCACGGAGCCCAAGCGGCAGCUUCUUGGAAAAGAAUUCCUGUGUUUUUUGUGCUGUGCUCAGCAACACACUCCGGAGCAGAUAUUGACUGCAGCAUUCACAGUCACUGAGCUGGAAGCUGCCGACUCUAUAGAGGCUGCUGUCAAACCUGUUGUGGGGGCCUAGGAGGUAGUGGACUGUAACCGACUUUUUUCUUUGAAUACAAUGCUUCCACUCAUGCUAAGCCUGGCUUCAAAGAAAACAGAAAUUUACUUCAUUCAUUUUAUUUAUUUUUCAAAAUACGAGUUUAAAAAAUCGAACUCUAACAAAAUUUAUCCCCACAGGAAGCUGCUUGGGAGCUUUACAUCACAAAUAUUGCCCUACCUAGACCCAAGGGCAGCACUUCCUAUGUGGCCAUCCUUCUCUUAGGUAUAAGAGCUCACUUAGCAAUAACCUAAAACAGGUGGUUUCUUCUCGCCACCCAGCAAGCUCAUGUAAGUUCUUUCCCCAGCAAGACAAGGCCCCAGAACACACAGCUGCCUGCCAUUCCUUCUUGUUACUGCUCUAGCCCUAUACCUGCCCUCAGGGAAAUCCAUUUACCAGGAAAAUUAAAUGUUAGCAGAUAUGUUUCUAGGAAUGGCUUGUGAACUCUUUGAAUACAAAAUGCCGAAUUAGUUGGCUCUUCGCCUCUUGGAUGAUCUGUACCACUGCCAAGAAUGAGCAGGAGAAAAUGGUUAGCGAGAUACCGCCUUUUCACACAUUUUUACAGCCAGGUAACCAUGCUGGGAAAUUUUUGAAAUGUAAUCUUUGCCACUUUUGUUCUGAUGGGAUCUGUUCAAAAGGCAUCUCAGAACAGGCACGGGCCCUUACGUCGUGCUUUGGUUGCUUAGACUUAGCUGGAACAGUAACACUGAACCAACUUUGACAAGUCUGAAGCUGGAGCAACACGGACAAGCAACAACAAACUCUGAAGUGGGAAAAACUUCACUUUGUACUUUUUUAAAAGGACUUUUUUUGUACAGUGCGUUUGGAUCAUAUUCUCUUUGCUUGUCUAACUCUUCCUAGAUUCACCCCCGUUCAGCUUUGUUUCCCCUCCUCCCCAAGACUAGUUUGUGCUGCUUGGGAUGUUCGGUUGAUUUACCAGGAGCUACACUCUUACAGAAAACUGCAUCCCUGUCUUCCCCCAGCUAAGAGUUACUGGCAGCUCCACAUUGAGAGGCGGAUUAUGUGCCCAACUCUUCCCUCCAUGCUGGGAUUUAGCCUGCUUUGGGCUUGCACAAGGUUUGGUCUGCUGUUGCAAAUGCUCCGACUUCAUGAGUGCGGCUGCCCUGCUCUGUCCAGGAGAAGCUGUUACCUUGUAGUCGUCCACUGCCUCUGCGUACACUCUUUCCAUCCCUGUUUCUACAGUGACCCUGGAACCUUGGAGGGAGCAGUGGAUCAGGGGAGGGCAGGUACAUUUUCUUUAGUGCUGAGCCUUCUGAAGUCCUACUCUCUACCAAAUGGCCAGCUGUGGGUCUCUAUGUAAACAACCAUUUACUACAAAACGAAGCCUCUCAGAUGAGGGUUGCUUCUGUUUAGCAGAAUAAUAGUAGUUAGGCUUUCCCUGAAGGUCUGCGACUUGUCUGGCCAUAGGUUCUCAGCUUGCUAAUGGGACCUGGGAUGGGUUUCACCUUAUGGAGUGGAAUUUAAAUCUAAUCAGAAACUUCCGUGAUGUAUGUGUCAGUGUUGCACCAGAGAGCUUGGUUUGUCAGGCCAGUCUUUUCUCCUCCAGUCGUUUGUAUUUUACCUGCAGCACUAUGAAAGCUAACCAGUAUCUGAGCCAUCUCUGUGGCUUGAGUCCUCUGUCCCUUUCGUUUCUAUAACAUGAAGUUCCCACUUGGGGCUGUUAUGGGGACACAAGCUUCAGUCUAAAGAGCUGAGCAAACACUGGAAUUAUUGCACUUCUCUAGGAAAAAAGGAAAGGAAAGGAAAGGAAAGGAAAGGAAAGGAAAGGAAAGGAGGACAAAAAGAAACAAAGACUGAAAGAAAAACACCUAGCUAUAACAAAAUAAAC